RNAcentral lists this ribosomal RNA (793 nucleotides) under uncultured bacterium. RNAcentral's name for it is "bacterial SSU rRNA". It matches the Rfam family "Bacterial small subunit ribosomal RNA", at positions 15 to 802 of the family's 1533-position model. The record is from RNAcentral.
GAUCCUGGCUCAGGAUGAACGCUAGCGGCAGGCUUAACACAUGCAAGUCGAACGGUAACAUUGGUGCUUGCACCAGAUGACGAGUGGCGCACGGGUGCGUAACGCGUAUGCAAUCUACCUUUUACUGAAGAAUAGCCCAGAGAAAUUUGGAAUAAUCCUUCAUAACAUCAUUUAUCAGCAUUGAUUUAUGAUUAAAGCUCCGGCGGUAAAAGAUGAGCAUGCGUCCUAUUAGUUUGUUGGUGAGGUAACGGCUCACCAAGACUACGAUAGGUAGGGGCCCUGAGAGGGGGAUCCCCCACACUGGUACUGAGACACGGACCAGACUCCUACGGGAGGCAGCAGUGAGGAAUAUUGGACAAUGGAGGCAACUCUGAUCCAGCCAUGCCGCGUGCAGGAUGACUGCCCUAUGGGUUGUAAACUGCUUUUAUAUAGGAAGAAACACUCCCACGUGUGGGGGCUUGACGGUAUUAUAUGAAUAAGGAUCGGCUAACUCCGUGCCAGCAGCCGCGGUAAUACGGAGGAUCCAAGCGUUAUCCGGAAUCAUUGGGUUUAAAGGGUCCGCAGGCGGCCUGUUAAGUCAGAGGUGAAAGCCAACAGCUCAACUGUUGAACUGCCUUUGAUACUGAUAGGCUUGAGUUAUUGUGAAGUGGUUAGAAUGUGUGGUGUAGCGGUGAAAUGCUUAGAUAUCACACAGAAUACCCAUUGCGAAAGGCAGAUCACUAACAAUAUACUGACGCUCAUGGACGAAAGCGUGGGGAGCGAACGGGAUUAGAUACCCCGGUAGUCCACGCCG